UACAGAGGUCCCAAGCGUUGUUCGGAUUCACUGGGCGUAAAGGGUGCGUAGGCGGUCGGGUAAGUCUGAUGUGAAAUCUCACAGCUUAACUGUGAAACUGCAUUGGAUACUAUCCGGCUCGAGGAAUGGAGGGGAGACUGGAAUACUUGGUGUAGCAGUGAAAUGCGUAGAUAUCAAGUGGAACACCAGUGGCGAAGGCGAGUCUCUGGACAUUUCCUGACGCUGAGGCACGAAAGUCAGGGGAGCAAACGGG
This 253-nucleotide ribosomal RNA is filed under the name uncultured bacterium. RNAcentral describes it as "partial 16S ribosomal RNA". It matches the Rfam family "Bacterial small subunit ribosomal RNA", at positions 524 to 776 of the family's 1533-position model. The record is from RNAcentral.